RNAcentral lists this ribosomal RNA (492 nucleotides) under uncultured bacterium. Its description in RNAcentral is "partial 16S ribosomal RNA". It matches the Rfam family "Bacterial small subunit ribosomal RNA", at positions 29 to 507 of the family's 1533-position model. The record is from RNAcentral.
AGUGAACGCUGGCGGUAGGCCUAACACAUGCCAGUCGAACGGCAGCACAGUAAGAGCUUGCUCUUACGGGUGGCGAGUGGCGGACGGGUGAGGAAUACAUCGGAAUCUACUUUUUCGUGGGUGAUAACGGAGGGAAACUUACGCUAAUAGCGCAUACGACCUACGGGUGAAAGCAGGGGAUCUUGGGACCUUGCGCGAUUGAAUGAGCCGAUGUCGGAUUAGCUAGUUGGCGGGGUAAAGGCCCACCAAGGCGACGAUCCGUAGCUGGUCUGAGAGGAUGAUCAGCCACACUGGAACUGAGACACGGUCCAGACUCCUACGGGAGGCAGCAGUGGGGAAUAUUGGACAAUGGGCGCAAGCCUGAUCCAGCCAUGCCGCGUGGGUGAAGAAGGCCUUCGGGUUGUAAAGCCCUUUUGUUGGGAAAGAAAAGCAGCAGGUUAAUACCCCGCUGUUCUGACGGUACCCAAAGAAUAAGCACCGGCUAACUUCGUG